GAUGAACGCUGGCGGCGUGCCUAAUACAUGCAAGUCGAGCGAACGGACGAUACUCUUGCUUCUCUGAUGUUAGCGGCGGACGUGUGAGUCACACGUGGAUAACCUACCUAUAAGACUGGUAUAACUUCGGGAAACCGGCGCUAAUACCGGAUAAUAUUUUGCACCGCAUGGUUCAAUAGUGAAAGACGGUCUUUCUGUCACUUAUAGAUGGAUCCGCGCUGCAUUAGCUAGUUGGUAAGGUAACGGCUUACCAAGGCAACGAUGCAUAGCCGACCUGAGAGGGUGAUCGGCCACACUGGAACUGAGACACGGUCCAGACUCCUAAGGGAGGCAGCAGUAGGGAAUCGUACGCAAUGGGCGAAAGCCUGACGGAGCAACGCCGAGUGAGUGAUGAAGGUCUUCGGAUCGUAAAAAUCUGUUAUUAGGGAAGAACAUAUGUGUAAGUAACUGUGCACAUCUUGACGAUACCUAAUCAGAAAGCCACGGCUAACUACGUG
Molecule: ribosomal RNA, 497 nt
Filed under: uncultured bacterium
Lineage: Bacteria
Description: partial 16S ribosomal RNA
Rfam family: Bacterial small subunit ribosomal RNA
Source: RNAcentral